RNAcentral lists this ribosomal RNA (448 nucleotides) under uncultured bacterium. RNAcentral's name for it is "bacterial SSU rRNA". It matches the Rfam family "Bacterial small subunit ribosomal RNA", at positions 331 to 793 of the family's 1533-position model. The record is from RNAcentral.
CCAGACUCCUACGGGAGGCAGCAGUGGGGAAUAUUGGGCAAUGGGCGCAAGCCUGACCCAGCAACGCCGCGUGAAGGAAGAAGGCUUUCGGGUUGUAAACUUCUUUUGUCAGGGACGAAGCAAGUGACGGUACCUGACGAAUAAGCCACGGCUAACUACGUGCCAGCAGCCGCGGUAAUACGUAGGUGGCAAGCGUUAUCCGGAUUUAUUGGGUGUAAAGGGCGUGUAGGCGGGAAUGCAAGUCAGAUGUGAAAACUAUGGGCUCAACCCAUAGCCUGCAUUUGAAACUGUAUUUCUUGAGUGCUGGAGAGGCAAUCGGAAUUCCGUGUGUAGCGGUGAAAUGCGCAGAUAUCAGGAGGAACACCGGUGGCGAAGGCGGCCUGCUGGACGGUAACUGACGCUGAGGCUCGAAAGCGUGGGGAGCGAACAGGAUUAGAUACCCUGGUAC